Molecule: long non-coding RNA, 1217 nt
Organism: Cydia pomonella (codling moth)
Lineage: Eukaryota; Metazoa; Arthropoda; Insecta; Lepidoptera; Tortricidae
Exons: 2
Source: RefSeq, a predicted model, not a curated record
CAGUACUCGUAGGUACAGCCAGCAGAGUUUUUGAAAAAUUGUAACGCUUUUUUGGUGCGUUGUCCUAUCCACAACUCUGGCUGUAUUUUACGUGCUGCGUGUCCAAUGAGUGUUUACAAAACCCAUGCUGUAAAAUAUACAUAAAUAUCUUUGUCUCUUUUUAUUUUUUUUCCUCAAGGGAUUCCCCGCUACUUUACUUAUAAUAACCUCAACCAGAUUUCCUUGAGUUCUUAUGGCCUGUUGCUUCGUUAAGACGAACGUGUGAUAUUUCCGAUCAAAUACAGUUGUCAUCAUGAAAUAUUUAAUUCUUCUUCUACCAUUGGUUUAUGCCCGUAUAAACCACGAUGGCAUCACAAUCAGUAUUGAACCUGGACCCACUGAAGCAAACACCACUAUUAGAUAUGAAGGAAACGAUUUAAAGAUAUUAACAGAUAAAGAUAAAACAGCUUUUAAUCUCACUCAAGAGGCCAUUGAAAAAGCUGUCCAAGUCUACUCUGGUGAAAAAGCAACUGAUGUAUUCAUCAAAAGCCCAACACCAUGGAAUGAUCUUUAUAAAACUUAUAAAUGGAGAGAAGUGAAAAGAGAAUUCAAAAUUAAAGAUAUAAGACUGAUAAAUAUUACGCACGAAGAACGUAAUAUGUCUAUUAAAGACUUUAGAAACGAUGGAAAUGAGACUAAGGUUAUAAAAGGAGAGGUGCGAGAUGCGUACGAUUCAUUUAUCUCUAGACAUUAUUGGAGUGGUAAUAUAAAAGUGAAUGCCAGUCUUAUAUACAAUCUGACACGACCUUAUGAUCCUCCGUUGCUUUACGCAUAUUCGUCAGAUGUCGGACAAUUUUUCCUUGAAAGCGGACUCAAUUCAAUAACUAUUACUAAAACCAGAGCUAAGUUUACUUUAGAACCGAAUCAAACAGCAAAAUUCUAUGUCAAAGCCAAUCAAGUCACAGUCAGAGUUAUGGUUGAAUACGAAACCAAUUUAAUAGGAGACGUGGUUGUGAAUUAUGAGAAUAAACAUGAAGGUCAUCAUUUCUGGGCGUACGAUAUAAAUGAAGUAUUAUCCGCGUCUAAUAUGACGAGCACUGUGCGAACUAACGAAUAUGUUGAGGUUUACUAUUUACAAGAUUUUAAAACACAAAUUGUUGAUGGUUCUACUGAAAAUGACAUUCAAUUCACUAAUGGUUUUGUUAAUAAAUAGUCAUUGAAAUAUUGAAUUACCUUUA